UACGGGGGGUGCGAGCGUUGUCCGGAAUCACUGGGCGUAAAGGGUGCGUAGGCGGACUUUUAAGUCAGUGGUGAAAUCCCCGAGCUUAACUCGGAAACUGCCAUUGAUACUAUUAGUCUUGAAUUCGGUCGAGGUUGGCGGAAUGUGUCGUGUAGCGGUGAAAUGCUUAGAUAUGACACAGAACACCGAUUGCGAAGGCAGCUAGCUAGACCGACAUUGACGCUGAGGCACGAAAGCGUGGGGAUCAAACAGG
RNAcentral lists this ribosomal RNA (253 nucleotides) under uncultured bacterium. Its description in RNAcentral is "partial 16S ribosomal RNA". It matches the Rfam family "Bacterial small subunit ribosomal RNA", at positions 524 to 776 of the family's 1533-position model. The record is from RNAcentral.